This 250-nucleotide ribosomal RNA is filed under the name uncultured prokaryote. RNAcentral's name for it is "partial 16S ribosomal RNA". It matches the Rfam family "Bacterial small subunit ribosomal RNA", at positions 524 to 773 of the family's 1533-position model. The record is from RNAcentral.
UACGUAGGGGGCAAGCGUUAUCCGGAUUUACUGGGUGUAAAGGGAGCGCAGACGGAUAAGGAAGUCAGAUGUGGAAGCCCCGGGCAUAACGCGGGGAGAGCAUUUGAAACUCCAUAUCUAGAGUACUGGAGGGGUGAGCGGAAUUCCUGGUGUAGCGGUGAAAUGCGUAGAUAUCAGGAAGAACACCGGCGGCGAAGGCGGCUCACUGGACAGCAACUGACGCUGAGGCUCGAAAGCGUGGGGAGCAAAC